This is a long non-coding RNA of Phyllopteryx taeniolatus (common seadragon), 3324 nucleotides long. RefSeq lists it as uncharacterized. NCBI's taxonomy places the organism in Eukaryota, Metazoa, Chordata, Actinopteri, Syngnathiformes, Syngnathidae. The record is from RefSeq and is a predicted model, not a curated record. The transcript has 4 exons.
AUACUGCCGCGCUCACUCGCCUCCUGCGCCAGGCGGAUGACAACAUCACGCACAAGUACUACCGGGAAUCUCUCAGAGAAAGUUAGCUUUUUUUUUUUUUCUUAAAAAUUUAUCAUAACAAAAUGUCAAUGUUUAGAUUUUUUUACAAUGGGACGAUCAACACAAUUUAACAUUUUUUUUGACUACGUGUCAUUGACAGUUGUUUUUAAAGCCACAUAUCUGCUCUUUUUUUUUAACAUUUUAAUGGGAAAUCAAACAUUUCUUCAUGUGAAAUGAGGUAACCAAAAUAUUAGAAACCGCUCCCAGGAUGAUGUAGUUGAACACUGCUGCAAACUAGAGCCGUAAUAAUAACAAGUUGUUACAUUGUAAAACAGUAAAACAGCAUUCUUACAUUUGAAUCUUUUUAUUUUAAUUGCAUACGAUUAAGAUUAAUACCCUGUUUUUCUGCGAACUCAUGCACACCCUUAUCAGAAUCAGAAUCAGAAUCAUCUUUAUUUGCCAAGUAUGUCCAAAACACACAAGGAAUUUGUCUCCGGUAGUUGGAGCCGCUCUAGUACAACAGACAGUCAAUUUACAGAACACUUUGGAGACAUAAAGACAUUGACAAAAAACAACAACAAACAACAAUUGUGCAAAAAGCUUAUUGUGCAGCUGUACCUAAUAAAGUGUCUCAGGGGUGUAAUUCCAAUUCUUGUCAACUACCUUUCUACCCCCAAUAACAUAAUAGCACUAAUCAAGCAGACAUAUAAUGUUAUUAUCAUUUCUGAAUGACAAAUAACCACUUAUUGCGUGUACUUUGAGCACUUCCAGAAUGUUGUGUGUGCGCGCCACCUAGUGGUGAGAAGGACUGCCUGCUCAUCAACCACACGAGGUCAUACCAGGUCAGUGUUACCCCCAAACUUUAUAGAGCCAAGGCAUAUAUUUUACAUGAGAAUAAUCUCACGGCACACCACAAAACAGACCCCCAAAAAAAGUGAAUAUAUACUGAAAUAUUGAUGACCCUGUUUCAAUUAAAAACUUGUUUCAAUCUACUUACUCUGUGGAAUCUGGGCCUGUACAGUUGAACACAAAGCUAUUAUUCUCUCGUAUGAAGGGCUAAUGAUACUUUCUGCCAUCUAGCGGAAGAGCAUUGAAUUAUUCUGCGUGUCACUGUACAUUGCUGGCAUAGAUAGAUGCACAAGUCAAAUUGGAUAAGUGUUCGGGAAUCACUGGACUAGAUUACGUGACGUUGCAAUAACGAUUGGAUUAUUAGAUUAACAAUACAUUACUUCGAUGUAAAUAAGGAUUCAUUUUCAAAGCAAAAAAAAAAAUGAAAUUGUAUAAUUUCCAAUCGUAAAUAUUUGUGUUUGUAUGUAUAACAAUCAAAUAAAAAAACAGAAAGUUCAAUCAAGCACGUUGACGCACAUGAUUUGCUUUUGCGGGCCACAUCAAAUGAUGUGGCGGCCAAGAUCUGUCCCCCGGGCCUUGAGUUUGACACGUGAUUUAAACUUUUAAUUCGGGCUGUCAUAAACAUAUUCUGACAAGGUGUCAAUCACUCAGUUUUUCGCUGUCCCCUGAUUGCUAUAUUCACAAAUAGGUUUAACCUUCAAGGCCUUUUAUCGACUCCUUACUUGGCUCUGAUAUGUGGUCUUCAUCGAAACGACUGGAGGACAUGAACUUGCUAAUCCACGCGGGAAGUUUCCGCAUUAGACUCGCUUUGCAUGCAGCAACAACAACGGCACAGAUGAACUCAGCGCCGCGAUAAUCGGAUGCAGCGUGGCGUCGGCACUCGCACGAGUCGUCCGCUCUUACUCACUUCCACAUCGAUAAUGAAAACACAGCACUAAGUAGUUCUCUGUCACAUAAUCGUUUCUUGGCGCUACCAUCUUUGCGGGCGAGCCCGCCACGACGAUGACAGGGGAUAACGCAGAAGCUUUUAGUGUCUGAAAGGUCAAAAUCAAAUCUUUUGAUCAUCUCGUUUUGUUUUUAUUACUUAAAUCUUUGAAAGCUCGAGCUCAUGACCAUGAAAUAAACAUCUAGAUCACAUGAUUAAAAUAAUCCUAUCGCGCACUCGCCGGCCAUUCCAUUAGGUCAGCGACUUCCGAGCACUUUCUCCUCUGCAAUAUCCGCUUUGGCUCAAUCAAGGUUGAGAAACACUGCAUUCGGUAAUCAUCCACUAUCAUCUAAUAGGAAAUGUUCUCAUAAUAAUAAUAAUAAUAAUAAUUUGUAUUGUUCUAAUUCUCUUCAAGAGGGAUACAAACAUGAUCAAAUCAGUUGGCCGUCGUAGUACCACGACUGACCUGUGAGAGGCAGCAUUGUGCCACAUGGCAUCAAGAUUGCUGGGAAAUACAAGUAGAAGAAGCUAGGCUAACUGUUAGUUUAUCUCAUAAUGGAACUGUGUUGACCACACGUAAAUGCUGAAAAAGGUUUAGCAUGUAUGAUUGUCGAGCCCAACAGUUUUCUGAUCAGCCUGAGAAAAAACAAAUCACUCGAAAGACACCCCACAUCACAGGUUAAUCCCUCGGGAUAAUCUUUCAGAGCCAUCCGAUGCUGAUUUUGUUGGUGACGAAGAGUUUACCAAGUUUCUCCACCCGUGACUUGGCAGCUAGGCUUGGCGAAGAUCUGCCAUUUUCAAGCCACGGCUGGACUGCGUCGUCUGAAAUUGCUGUCAUGCCAAAGCCAAAAAGCAACCGUGGAUGAUAGUGACCGGGAUCCAACCUUAAAAAAAAAAAAACGGAGGAUGCUGACAGAAAACUCUAAUUCCCUGAAAAAGUCAUCAUUGCCAUACAGCACCCAGAUACAAAUCCCCCAGAAUGUGCUGCAGCCAUCAAACUUCCAAUCACUCGCCUGCAAAAUGACCAAAAUUGAGUUACGCCACUUUAGCUGUCAGUGGCUCAACUGGGAUGUACGGCAUAUUUCUUGCAUCAGUGGACUUUGGGCUCUCCAUCUGACCGCUGACGCUUCACGCAGCAGCGACUCAUGAUCCCAGGGCGCGUUCUGUGAUGUGCUGGAUAUCUCCGCGAAGAAGACUUUUCACAGCGACGGCAGAAGAGAAUGGCAUGCCGGUGAAUACGUGGCCGCUACAAGGCUUGACUUUACCCCAACGGGUGAUGGGGACGAAAAUGACAGAAAGAAAAUAUGAUCUUUUUCAACUAUGUACGUCUAAAAAAAAAAGGCUGUCCUCAGUGUGUGUGUGUGUGUGUGUGUGUGUGUGCGCCUUUGAAUGCAUUUUGUCAUUUGUUGGAAGUAGCCAAGUAAUGUAAAAUGCAUUUUAUACGUCUCCAACUUAACAAUUGUGUUAAAGUUCCAUCUUGGCUGUUGUCAUCUUUUCCACCUAUAUCUACA